UCGGCAAUGGACGAAAGUCUGACCGAGCAACGCCGCGUGAGUGAAGAAGGUUUUCGGAUCGUAAAGCUCUGUUGUAAGUCAAGAACGUGUGUGAGAGUGGAAAGUUCACACAGUGACGGUAGCUUACCAGAAAGGGACGGCUAACUACGUGCCAGCCAGCCGCGGUAAUACGUAGGUCCCGAGCGUUGUCCGGAUUUAUUGGGCGUAGAGGGAGCGCAGGCGGUCAGGAAAGUCUGGAGUAAAAGGCUAUGGCUCAACCAUAGUGUGCUCUGGAAACUGUCUGACUUGAGUGCAGAAGGGGAGAGUGGAAUUCCAUGUGUAGCGGUGAAAUGCGUAGAUAUAUGGAGGAACACCAGUGGCGAAAGCGGCUCUCUGGUCUGUCACUGACGCUGAGGCUCGAAAGCGUGGGUAGCGAACAGGAUUAGAUACCCUGGUAGUCCACGCCGUAAACGAUGAGUGCUAGGUGUUAGGCCUUUCCGGGGCUUAGUGCCGGAGCUAACGCAAUAAGCACUCCGCCUGGGGAGUACGACCGCAAGGUUGAAACUCCAAAGGAAUUGACGGGGGCCCGCACAAGCGGUGGAGCAUGUGGUUUAAUUCGAAGCAACGCGAAGAACCU
This 616-nucleotide ribosomal RNA is filed under the name Streptococcus mutans. RNAcentral's name for it is "bacterial SSU rRNA". It matches the Rfam family "Bacterial small subunit ribosomal RNA", at positions 365 to 971 of the family's 1533-position model. Lineage: Bacteria; Bacillati; Bacillota; Bacilli; Lactobacillales; Streptococcaceae. The record is from RNAcentral.